GCUUUGACUAGUAAAGAUAAGUGUCAGUUUAUUGAUCAUACUUUUUAAGAAUUUCACAAUUCUACCAUAUGUCUCAAAGCAUUGACGAUGUUGGUCAUGUUCUACCUGGAUUUCCUCCCAUUCUAGCUUGUUAACCUUUAUUUUGAAAAUUUAUUGACGAUGUUCAUGCUGAAAAUUCUGCUCAUAAUUGUAUGAUAGCCAAUGAAAAUAUUCAUGCUUCUUCCAAGUCUAUGAGGAUUGUAAGCAUGUUUUAUAAGCAUUUAAUCGUCCAUUGUUCUUCAUCAUAUUUAGCAGAGUUUGAGCAAUCAAUACAGUUUGAAGGAAGAUUUUGAAGAUGCAAAUGGAAGCAACGAUUUCAGGAUGUGUCUAGUGACAGAUUGAAGCUAAUCUGAGAAUCAAGGUGAAAGCAAACACUUUUAUAUAUAAAAGGGAUGAAGAAGCCAAUAAUGAAAUUGUUGUGGUUUGGUUAAAAGAUCAAUGCAGGAAAGUUAUGGUGCUCCUAGUGGGCAAAGAUGGAGUAAAUGUUGCAAAGAGCAUUGAAUUCAACAUUGGAGGCAGUCUUGCAUAGAUUGUUGAAUAUUAGCAAUGAUGUGACUGGUGCUGUUUUAGAGGUAGUGACACUCGCUAUGGUUUUACCGAAAAUCUCUA
Long non-coding RNA from Medicago truncatula (barrel medic), 648 nucleotides. RefSeq lists it as uncharacterized. NCBI's taxonomy places the organism in Eukaryota, Viridiplantae, Streptophyta, Magnoliopsida, Fabales, Fabaceae. The record is from RefSeq and is a predicted model, not a curated record. The transcript has 3 exons.